Molecule: ribosomal RNA, 912 nt
Filed under: uncultured Planctomycetota bacterium
Lineage: Bacteria; Pseudomonadati; Planctomycetota
Description: bacterial SSU rRNA
Rfam family: Bacterial small subunit ribosomal RNA
Source: RNAcentral
AGAGUUUGAUCCUGGCUCAGAUUGAACGCUGGCGGCAUGCCUUACACAUGCAAGUCGAACGGUAACGGGCCUUCGGGUGCCGACGAGUGGCGAACGGGUAAGUAAAGUAUCGGAACGUACCAUUGAGUGGGGGAUAACGUAGCGAAAGUUACGCUAAUACCGCAUAUUCUCUCCGGAGGAAAGCAGGGGAUCGCAAGACCUUGUGCUCUUUGAUCGGCCGAUAUCAGAUUAGCUAGUUGGUGGGGUAAAAGCUCACCAAGGCGACGAUCUGUAGCGGGUCUGAGAGGAUGAUCCGCCACACUGGAACUGAGACACGGUCCAGACUCCUACGGGAGGCAGCAGUGGGGAAUUUUGGACAAUGGGGGCAACCCUGAUCCAGCCAUGCCGCGUGAGUGAAGAAGGCCUUCGGGUUGUAAAGCUCUUUCAGCCGGGAAGAAAACGCACUCUCUAAUACAGGGUGUGGAUGACGGUACCGGAAUAAGAAGCACCGGCUAACUACGUGCCAGCAGCCGCGGUAAUACGUAGGGUGCGAGCGUUAAUCGGAAUUACUGGGCGUAAAGCGUGCGCAGGCGGUUUGUUAAGACAGGCGUGAAAUCCCCGGGCUCAACCUGGGAACUGCGCUUGUGACUGGCAGGCUAGAGUAUGGCAGAGGGGGGUGGAAUUCCACGUGUAGCAGUGAAAUGCGUAGAGAUGUGGAGGAACACCGAUGGCGAAGGCAGCCCCCUGGGCCAAUACUGACGCUCAUGCACGAAAGCGUGGGGAGCAAACAGGAUUAGAUACCCUGGUAGUCCACGCCCUAAACGAUGUCAACUAGGUGUUGGGUGGGUAAAACCAUUUAGUACCGGAGCUAACGCGUGAAGUUGACCGCCUGGGGAGUACGGCCGCAAGGUUAAAACUCAAAGGAAUUGACGG